Molecule: ribosomal RNA, 2908 nt
Filed under: Serratia marcescens
Lineage: Bacteria; Pseudomonadati; Pseudomonadota; Gammaproteobacteria; Enterobacterales; Yersiniaceae
Description: 23S ribosomal RNA
Rfam family: Bacterial large subunit ribosomal RNA
Source: RNAcentral
GGUUAAGUGACUAAGCGUACACGGUGGAUGCCUAGGCAGUCAGAGGCGAUGAAGGGCGUGCUAAUCUGCGAAAAGCGUCGGUAAGGUGAUAUGAACCGUUAUAACCGGCGAUACCCGAAUGGGGAAACCCAGUGUGUUUCGACACAUUAUCAUGUCAUGAAUACAUAGUGGCAUGAGGCGAACCGGGGGAACUGAAACAUCUAAGUACCCCGAGGAAAAGAAAUCAACCGAGAUUCCCCCAGUAGCGGCGAGCGAACGGGGAGGAGCCCAGAACCUGAAUCGGCUUGUGUGUUAGUGGAAGCGUCUGGAAAGUCGCGCAGCAAAGGGUGAUAGCCCCGUACACUAAAAUGCACAGGUCGUGAGUUCGAUGAGUAGGGCGGGACACGUGACAUCCUGUCUGAAUAUGGGGGGACCAUCCUCCAAGGCUAAAUACUCCUGACUGACCGAUAGUGAACCAGUACCGUGAGGGAAAGGCGAAAAGAACCCCGGCGAGGGGAGUGAAAUAGAACCUGAAACCGUGUACGUACAAGCAGUGGGAGCACCUUCGUGGUGUGACUGCGUACCUUUUGUAUAAUGGGUCAGCGACUUAUAUUUUGUAGCAAGGUUAACCGUAUAGGGGAGCCGUAGGGAAACCGAGUCUUAACUGGGCGAAUAGUUGCAAGGUAUAGACCCGAAACCCGGUGAUCUAGCCAUGGGCAGGUUGAAGGUUGGGUAACACUAACUGGAGGACCGAACCGACUAAUGUUGAAAAAUUAGCGGAUGACUUGUGGCUGGGGGUGAAAGGCCAAUCAAACCGGGAGAUAGCUGGUUCUCCCCGAAAGCUAUUUAGGUAGCGCCUCGUGAACUCAUCUUCGGGGGUAGAGCACUGUUUCGGCUAGGGGGCCAUCCCGGCUUACCAAACCGAUGCAAACUCCGAAUACCGAAGAAUGUUAUCACGGGAGACACACGGCGGGUGCUAACGUCCGUCGUGAAGAGGGAAACAACCCAGACCGCCAGCUAAGGUCCCAAAGUCAUGGUUAAGUGGGAAACGAUGUGGGAAGGCAUAGACAGCCAGGAUGUUGGCUUAGAAGCAGCCAUCAUUUAAAGAAAGCGUAAUAGCUCACUGGUCGAGUCGGCCUGCGCGGAAGAUGUAACGGGGCUAAACCAUGCACCGAAGCUGCGGCAGCGACGCUUAGGCGUUGUUGGGUAGGGGAGCGUUCUGUAAGCCGUUGAAGGUGGCCUGUGAGGGUUGCUGGAGGUAUCAGAAGUGCGAAUGCUGACAUAAGUAACGAUAAAGCGGGUGAAAAGCCCGCUCGCCGGAAGACCAAGGGUUCCUGUCCAACGUUAAUCGGGGCAGGGUGAGUCGACCCCUAAGGCGAGGCUGAAAAGCGUAGUCGAUGGGAAACAGGUUAAUAUUCCUGUACUUGGUGUUACUGCGAAGGGGGGACGGAGAAGGCUAGGCUAGCCGGGCGACGGUUGUCCCGGUUUAAGCGUGUAGGGGGUGUGACCUGGUAAAUCCGGUUGCAUGCUAACCCUGAGGCGUGAUGACGAUGCACUACGGUGCAGAAGUAGUUGAUGCCCUGCUUCCAGGAAAAUCCUCUAAGCUCCAGGUAACAUUAAAUCGUACCCCAAACCGACACAGGUGGUCAGGUAGAGAAUACCAAGGCGCUUGAGAGAACUCGGGUGAAGGAACUAGGCAAAAUGGUGCCGUAACUUCGGGAGAAGGCACGCUGGCAUGUAGGUGAAGUCCCUUGCGGAUGGAGCUGAAGCCAGUCGAAGAUACCAGCUGGCUGCAACUGUUUAAUAAAAACACAGCACUGUGCAAACACGAAAGUGGACGUAUACGGUGUGACGCCUGCCCGGUGCUGGAAGGUUAAUUGAUGGGGUCAGCCGCAAGGCGAAGCUCUUGAUCGAAGCCCCAGUAAACGGCGGCCGUAACUAUAACGGUCCUAAGGUAGCGAAAUUCCUUGUCGGGUAAGUUCCGACCUGCACGAAUGGCGUAAUGAUGGCCAGGCUGUCUCCACCCGAGACUCAGUGAAAUUGAACUCGCUGUGAAGAUGCAGUGUACCCGCGGCAAGACGGAAAGACCCCGUGAACCUUUACUAUAGCUUGACACUGAACAUUGAGCCUUGAUGUGUAGGAUAGGUGGGAGGCUUUGAAGCGUGGACGCCAGUCUGCGUGGAGCCAUCCUUGAAAUACCACCCUUUAAUGUUUGAUGUUCUAACUCGGCCCCAUAAUCUGGGGUGAGGACAGUGUCUGGUGGGUAGUUUGACUGGGGCGGUCUCCUCCCAAAGAGUAACGGAGGAGCACGAAGGUUAGCUAAUCACGGUCGGACAUCGUGAGGUUAGUGCAAAGGCAUAAGCUAGCUUGACUGCGAGAGUGACGGCUCGAGCAGGUACGAAAGUAGGUCUUAGUGAUCCGGUGGUUCUGAAUGGAAGGGCCAUCGCUCAACGGAUAAAAGGUACUCCGGGGAUAACAGGCUGAUACCGCCCAAGAGUUCAUAUCGACGGCGGUGUUUGGCACCUCGAUGUCGGCUCAUCACAUCCUGGGGCUGAAGUAGGUCCCAAGGGUAUGGCUGUUCGCCAUUUAAAGUGGUACGCGAGCUGGGUUUAGAACGUCGUGAGACAGUUCGGUCCCUAUCUGCCGUGGGCGUUGGAAGAUUGAGAGGGGUUGCUCCUAGUACGAGAGGACCGGAGUGAACGCACCACUGGUGUUCGGGUUGUCAUGCCAAUGGCAUUGCCCGGUAGCUAAGUGCGGAAAAGAUAAGCGCUGAAAGCAUCUAAGCGCGAAACUUGCCUCAAGAUGAGUCUUCCCUGGGCCUUUAGGGCCCCUGAAGGAACGUUUAAGACUAAGACGUUGAUAGGCUGGGUGUGUAAGUGCAGCGAUGCAUUGAGCUAACCAGUACUAAUGAUCCGUGAGGCUUAACCUU